This 350-nucleotide unclassified non-coding RNA is filed under the name Melitaea cinxia (Glanville fritillary). Its description in RNAcentral is "misc RNA ENSMCXG00005009466.1". Lineage: Eukaryota; Metazoa; Arthropoda; Insecta; Lepidoptera; Nymphalidae. The record is from RNAcentral.
GGUGCAAAGUUCUCGUCAAUAGAAACGAAUUAAGUUCAAACAGCAGGUAAUUGCUAUAAUUCGUUGAAGAGUUCCCUCGACUAUCUUUCGUCUCCAUCAUCAGACUGUAAUGGCACUUGUAACUCACAUAGGUGCAAAGUUCUCGUCAAUAGAAACGAAUUAAGUUCAAACAGCAGGUAAUUGCUAUAAGUCGUUGAAGAGUACCCUCGACUAUCUUUCGUCUCCAUCAUCAGACUUUAAUGGCACUUAUAACUCAUAUAGGUGCAAAGUUCUCAUCAAUAGAAACGAAUUAAGUUCAAACAGCAGGUAAUUGCUAUAAAUCGGUAAAGAGUUCCCUCGACUAACUUUUG